RNAcentral lists this small RNA (826 nucleotides) under Pongo abelii (Sumatran orangutan). RNAcentral's name for it is "processed transcript". The record is from RNAcentral. Lineage: Eukaryota; Metazoa; Chordata; Mammalia; Primates; Hominidae.
AUUUCCAGCAAUGUCAACCAGAAACUCCAACAUAACUACUUUCUAUGGAUGCCAGAAUCACCUUUUUCCAGCCAUUAUUCAGUUGUAUCAUUUAGUGCUCAGAAUUUUGAUGUCAUACGACUGUCAACUUACAGAACAGCCUGCAAAUUACGAUUUGUACAAAAACGAUGCAACCUUCAUCUUGUUGAUAUCUGGAACAUGAUUGAAGCCUUCCGAGACAAUGGCCUUAAUACACUGGACCAUACCACCGAGAUCAGUGUGUCCCGCCUCGAAACUGUCAUCUCCUCCAUCUACUAUCAGUUGAACAAGCGCCUUCCUUCUACUCACCAAAUUAGUGUGGAACAAUCUAUCAGCCUCCUCCUCAACUUUAUGAUUGCUGCAUAUGACAGAUGUUUUCUCCCAGAUGUCAGAUUCCAAUGGCUUAAUGAUAUUUAGCAAGUUUGACCAGUUUCUGAAGGAAGUUCUGAAGCUCCCAACAGCUGUCUUUGAAGGGCCAUCUUUUGGUUACACAGAGCACUCAGUCCGCACCUGUUUUCCACAGCAGAGAAAGAUAAUGCUAAAUAUGUUUUUAGACAUGAUGAUGGCUGACCCUCCUCCCCAGUGCCUUGUCUGGCUACCUCUCAUGCACAGGCUUGCCCAUGUUGAGAAUGUCUUCCAUCCCGUGGAGUGCUCCUACUGCCGAUGUGAGAGUAUGAUGGGUUUCCGGUACCGAUGCCAGCAGUGCCACAACUAUCAGCUCUGCCAGAAUUGCUUUUGGCGUGGCCAUGCCGGUGGCCCUCACAGCAACCAGCACCAGAUGAAGGAGCAUUCCUCUUGGGUAACUGCU